UCACACAACCAGAACUGAAUGUAAACAAAACAGCAAGUUGUUACCGUUUGCUGAUCAUUCACUGAACAAGAAUUAUCGUCUACUACCUCUCGCCUGGCAAUCUUGCUUAAGCCUUGUGUUUGGUGGCGCACACUCCAGUAAAAGAAGAGAAACACUACAGACUUCACUUCAGCCACAUAGCAGUAUAUUAUUUUGGCAGCUGGAGACUACCUAUAGGUAUGACGUGCUAGAUUCAUCCAAAAAGAAACUCGAUCAAACGCAAACGGAGGAGGAAUAAAACAAGCAAGGGAGCCAUUUCAAAGGCAUAUCCCACCUACUACUACUACUACGUGCUUGAUUGAUUCAUUAAGCCAUCAGGAGUAAACCGAAGCGAACCUACGAUGGACAUUUCCACAGAUUCCAGUGAAGCAAAAGCCAAAGUAAAAGUUUUACAAGAAUUAGACUACGAGUUACAACAUUUGAAGAAUAACAGACAGUUGUACCUACAGCAGCCAAAUAGCAACAUAUACUUUAAAUGUACAAAACCAGAAGCUUUAAGUCAUUUAGCAAGUGAGAGGAAGGCACUGGAAAAACAACCUUAGUUGAGAAAAUAGUGUAUUUUCAGUUAUUUAUAUAUGUAAUUUUAUUAUUUGGAAGCCUUAAAGAGUAAUUAGUCUGUAGUUUGUCAUUACAAUUUGUUAAACUUCAAUAUUAUAUAAUAUAUAUAUUGCUUCUG
Macrobrachium nipponense is the source of this 715-nucleotide long non-coding RNA. RefSeq lists it as uncharacterized. The transcript has 3 exons. The record is from RefSeq and is a predicted model, not a curated record. Lineage: Eukaryota; Metazoa; Arthropoda; Malacostraca; Decapoda; Palaemonidae.